AUAACUUCGGGAAACCGGAGCUAAUACCGGAUAAUAUAUUGAACCGCAUGGUUCAAUAGUGAAAGAUGGUUUUGCUGUCACUUAUAGAUGGAUCCGCGCCGCAUUAGCUAGUUGGUAAGGUAACGGCUUACCAAGGCAACGAUGCGUAGCCGACCUGAGAGGGUGAUCGGCCACACUGGAACUGAGACACGGUCCAG
RNAcentral lists this ribosomal RNA (197 nucleotides) under uncultured Staphylococcus sp. Its description in RNAcentral is "partial 16S ribosomal RNA". It matches the Rfam family "Bacterial small subunit ribosomal RNA", at positions 143 to 334 of the family's 1533-position model. The record is from RNAcentral. Lineage: Bacteria; Bacillati; Bacillota; Bacilli; Caryophanales; Staphylococcaceae.